RNAcentral lists this ribosomal RNA (247 nucleotides) under uncultured bacterium. RNAcentral's name for it is "partial 16S ribosomal RNA". It matches the Rfam family "Bacterial small subunit ribosomal RNA", at positions 523 to 769 of the family's 1533-position model. The record is from RNAcentral.
AUACGUAGGUGGCGAGCGUUGUCCGGAAUCAUUGGGCGUAAAGAGCGCGUAGGCGGCUUUUCAGGUCCGACGUGAAAUCUCGGGGCUCAACCCCGAACGUGCAUCGGAAACCGGAUUGCUAGAGUCUGGGAGAGGAGAGUGGAAUUCCUGGUGUAGCGGUGAAAUGCGCAGAUAUCAGGAGGAACACCAGUAGCGAAGGCGGCUCUCUGGAACAGUACUGACGCUGAGGCGCGAAAGCUAGGGGAGC